RNAcentral lists this ribosomal RNA (924 nucleotides) under uncultured bacterium. RNAcentral describes it as "bacterial SSU rRNA". It matches the Rfam family "Bacterial small subunit ribosomal RNA", at positions 9 to 924 of the family's 1533-position model. The record is from RNAcentral.
GAGUUUGAUCAUGGCUCAGAUUGAACGCUGGCGGAAUGCUUUACACAUGCAAGUCGAACGGCAACAUAGAGAGCUUGCUCUCUGAUGGCGAGUGGCGAACGGGUGAGUAAUAUAUCGGAACGUGCCUAGUAAUGGGGAAUAACUAGCUGAAAGGUUAGCUAAUGCCGCAUACGACCUACGGGUGAAAGCAGGGGAUCUUCGGACCUUGCGUUAUUAGAGCGGCCGAUAUCUGAUUAGCUUGUUGGUGGGGUAAUGGCCUACCAAGGCGACGAUCAGUAGCUGGUCUGAGAGGACGAUCAGCCACACUGGAACUGAGACACGGUCCAGACUCCUACGGGAGGCAGCAGUGGGGAAUUUUGGACAAUGGGGGCAACCCUGAUCCAGCCAUUCCGCGUGAGUGAAGAAGGCCUUCGGGUUGUAAAGCUCUUUCGCAAGAGAAGAAAACUUGCUAUCUAAUAAAUAGUAAGCAUGACGGUGUCUUGACAAGAAGCACCGGCUAACUACGUGCCAGCAGCCGCGGUAAUACGUAGGGUGCAAGCGUUAAUCGGAAUUACUGGGCGUAAAGCGUGCGCAGGCAGUUUUAUAAGUCAGAUGUGAAAUCCCCGAGCUCAACUUGGGAACUGCGUUUGAAACUGUAAGACUAGAGUGUGUCAGAGGGGGGUAGAAUUCCAAGUGUAGCAGUGAAAUGCGUAGAGAUUUGGAGGAAUACCAAUGGCGAAGGCAGCCCCCUGGGAUAACACUGACGCUCAUGCACGAAAGCGUGGGGAGCAAACAGGAUUAGAUACCCUGGUAGUCCACGCCCUAAACGAUGUCUACUAGUUGUUGGUGGAGUAAAAUCCAUGAGUAACGCAGCUAACGCGUGAAGUAGACCGCCUGGGGAGUACGGUCGCAAGAUUAAAACUCAAAUGAAUUGACGGGGCCCGC